GGGGAUGAACCGGUUUCGAUACGGGGGUGGACGGUUGUAAAUUGCAAGCCGAGCUGUCAUAACUCGUUAAACUAGGCAAAACUUUUAAUUGCCGAAAAAGUACCAGCAUUCGGUGGCUCCUACAACGCUUUACCGCUUGCGGUUUAGUCUCGUAACGAGCAACUAAAUGGCACUCAAAGAGUGUCUCGUCUAUCUCUUGUCCCUACCCGAUGGAGAAGAUUUAGAUGUCAUAUAAAGUCGGGUUGCUUUGAGAUGACACCGAUACUUCUCAACUAAGACUUAUCGGUUCGUUUGGGCUGACUUUGGCGGCGAACGACACCCAAAUUAAAUUCGAGUGCCACCUAAGCUUGUAGGCGUUUAUAGCCAGCUUUCGUAGACGCGAGUUCGACUCUCGCCAUCUCCAUCA
This 406-nucleotide transfer-messenger RNA is filed under the name Anaerolineales bacterium HSG24. It matches the Rfam family "transfer-messenger RNA". Rfam says of the family: Bacterial tmRNA, also known as 10Sa RNA or SsrA, is named for its dual tRNA and mRNA-like properties. RNAcentral also lists the same sequence under 1 other name. The record is from RNAcentral. Lineage: Bacteria; Bacillati; Chloroflexota; Anaerolineae; Anaerolineales.